Molecule: non-coding RNA, 103 nt
Organism: Ceratotherium simum simum (southern white rhinoceros)
Lineage: Eukaryota; Metazoa; Chordata; Mammalia; Perissodactyla; Rhinocerotidae
Source: RefSeq, a predicted model, not a curated record
CCUUGGCAGCUGCAUCGGGCCUGGAGAUGGUCUGCUUCAGUGGAGAGGGCAGAUCCGUGUGGGUCACUGUGCAUGUGAAGUCGUCCCCUGACUCCCAGUCCUC